CAUUGGCUCGCUGUGAUGCAGGAAGAGUUCGACGCGCUCCAACGGAACCGCACCUGGCAGCUUGUCUCUCGACCGCCUCAUGCCAACAUCAUCACGGGUAAGUGGGUCUUUCGGCACAAGACUCGUCCGGAUGGCACUCUCAAGCACUACAAAGCUCGUUGGGUGGUUCGAGGUUUUCGGCAACGUGCGGGCAUGGACUUCACCGACACAUUUCCCCCGGUUGUUAAACGGGGCACGAUCCGCACCGUGCUUCAGCUCGCCGUCUCCCGAGCUUGGCAUGUGCAUCAGUUAGACGUUUCCAAAGCCUUCUUGCACGGUCACCUCGUUGAGCAGGUGUUCUGUGAGCAGCCCACCGGCUUCAUCGACGUCACGCAUCCAGACCAUAUGUGCCUGCUCUCUCGUUCUCUUUACGGGUUGAAGCAGACACCUCGGGCCUGGUACCAGCGCAUCGCUGCAUUCCUGCAGACGCUCGGAUUUACAUCGACUCGCUCAAUGCGUCCCUCUUCGUGUACCAUCACGGAGUUGACACGGCCUACAUGCUGCUAUACGUCGACGACAUCAUCC
Molecule: ribosomal RNA, 564 nt
Filed under: Triticum aestivum (bread wheat)
Lineage: Eukaryota; Viridiplantae; Streptophyta; Magnoliopsida; Poales; Poaceae
Description: partial small subunit ribosomal RNA
Source: RNAcentral